AGCUCCAAUAGCGUAUACUAAUAUUGCUGCAGUUAAAAAGCUCGUAGUUGAAUUUCUGGUGACACGGUCUGGCCGGUUACUUAAUUGUGACUUGUGCCAUCGCCUUGUUGCCAUCUUUUGGUUUAACCAAUCUGGCAUUAGGUUGUCGGGUUGGUGAUACCAAUCGUUUACUGUGAAGAAAUUAGAGUGUUCAAAGCAGGCUUAUGCCGUUGAAUAUUUUAGCAUGGAAUAAUAAGAUAGGACUCUGGUGCUAUUUUGUUGGUUUGCGCACUAGAGUAAUGAUUAAUAGGGACAGUUGGGGAUAUUUGUACUAGGGAAUUAGAGGUGAAAUUCUUGGAUUUCCUUAUGACAAACGACUGCGAAAGCAUUUAUCAGGGAUGUUUUCAUUAAUCAAGAACGA
This 400-nucleotide ribosomal RNA is filed under the name phytoplankton environmental sample. RNAcentral describes it as "partial small subunit ribosomal RNA". It matches the Rfam family "Eukaryotic small subunit ribosomal RNA", at positions 587 to 986 of the family's 1831-position model. The record is from RNAcentral.